Molecule: ribosomal RNA, 480 nt
Filed under: Pseudomonas aeruginosa
Lineage: Bacteria; Pseudomonadati; Pseudomonadota; Gammaproteobacteria; Pseudomonadales; Pseudomonadaceae
Description: bacterial SSU rRNA
Rfam family: Bacterial small subunit ribosomal RNA
Source: RNAcentral
GCUCAAAUGAACGCUGGCGGCAGGCCUUACACAUGCAAGUCGAGCGGAUGAAGGGAGCUUGCUCCUGGAUUCAGCGGCGGACGGGUGAGUAAUGCCUAGGAAUCUGCCUGGUAGUGGGGGAUAACGUCCGGAAACGGGCGCUAAUACCGCAUACGUCCUGAGGGAGAAAGUGGGGGAUCUUCGGACCUCACGCUAUCAGAUGAGCCUAGGUCGGAUUAGCUAGUUGGUGGGGUAAAGGCCUACCAAGGCGACGAUCCGUGACUGGUCUGAGAGGAUGAUCAGUCACACUGGAACUGAGACACGGUCCAGACUCCUACGGGAGGCAGCAGUGGGGAAUAUUGGACAAUGGGCGAAAGCCUGAUCCAGCCAUGCCGCGUGUGUGAAGAAGGUCUUCGGAUUGUAAAGCACUUUAAGUUGGGAGGAAGGGCAGUAAGUUAAUACCUUGCUGUUUUGACGUACCAACAGAAUAAGCACCGGCUA